GUGACGGUCACGUGCGGAAAAGAGCGGCAGGAUUAAACUCGAUUCGGGUUCGUGAGAGAACCGGCUGCAAACGUCGAAAUCAUCGAGUCGUUGAUAUAAAAACGUGCUCGUCUCUUCUUUUGCUGCAGAUGUUUUGGACUCCAUUGGUGAGCCAGCGAUGGGAUGCUGCACUUCUCCAAACCUGAUGAAGAAAAGCUCGUCUAUAUCUCGGAUGACCCGAGGUCUACGGUGACACAUCUUCACAAUAAUUGCGGUCUGCAUUGAGGUGUCGCAACUCUUACGAUGUGAUCUAAACAUUUCAACGGCCGGGCCAGUGAUGUUGCAACUUAUUGGAGGUGUCUUGAAAGAGAACUGAAACCCCUCAUUUUAGAGUAGGCAGCUGCCUAU
Long non-coding RNA from Puntigrus tetrazona (Sumatra barb), 387 nucleotides. RefSeq lists it as uncharacterized. The record is from RefSeq and is a predicted model, not a curated record. The transcript has 3 exons. Lineage: Eukaryota; Metazoa; Chordata; Actinopteri; Cypriniformes; Cyprinidae.